Molecule: small RNA, 379 nt
Filed under: Vigna angularis var. angularis
Lineage: Eukaryota; Viridiplantae; Streptophyta; Magnoliopsida; Fabales; Fabaceae
Description: Non-protein coding transcript
Source: RNAcentral
GAAAAUAUUAGAUGGAUGUGGAUUAACUGCCCAAAUUGUGGCUCUUACAUUCCCGUAAAUAAGGAGAAACAAACACAGAAUUCCGUCCGUUGCUACUGUAUUUAAGCUGAAAGAAACACAACCUAAAUAAUGCAUCUGAGGAUAAAACGAGGGCAGGGGUGCAGGUAACCCGGUCUAACCUGAUUGGGAUGGGAUGGCCAUUCUUUUCGAGACAUUUUACAUUGUUUUGGUCCAAUCCACUCAUAAGCCAGAAAUGUCGACAUGUAUUGUGGGGUUCUGAUUAUAAAGUAAAAGUACAUAACAAAUAAAAGAAUGUAUCCACUGAACAGUGCCUUCCUGUUGCAGCUCAUAUAUAUGAUAGGCACCUGUUAGUCACCCC